CUGAAGAGUUUGAUCCUGGCUCAGAUUGAACGCUGGCGGGAUGCUUUACACAUGCAAGUCGGACGGCAGCACGGGCUUCGGCCUGGUGGCGAGUGGCGAACGGGUGAGUAAUGUAUCGGAACGUGCCCAGUAGCGGGGGAUAACUACGCGAAAGCGUGGCUAAUACCGCAUACGCCCUACGGGGGAAAGCGGGGACCUUCGGGCCUCGCACUAUUGGAGCGGCCGAUAUCGGAUUAGCUAGUUGGUGGGGUAACGGCCUACCAAGGCGACGAUCCGUAGCUGGUUUGAGAGGACGACCAGCCACACUGGGACUGAGACACGGCCCAGACUCCUACGGGAGGCAGCAGUGGGGAAUUUUGGACAAUGGGGGCAACCCUGAUCCAGCCAUCCCGCGUGUGCGAUGAAGGCCUUCGGGUUGUAAAGCACUUUUGGCAGGAAAGAAACGGCACGGGCUAAUAUCCUGUGCAACUGACGGUACCUGCAGAAUAAGCACCGGCUAACUACGUGCCAGCAGCCGCGGUAAUACGUAGGGUGCAAGCGUUAAUCGGAAUUACUGGGCGUAAAGCGUGCGCAGGCGGUUCGGAAAGAAAGAUGUGAAAUCCCAGGGCUUAACCUUGGAACUGCAUUUUUAACUACCGGGCUAGAGUGUGUCAGAGGGAGGUGGAAUUCCGCGUGUAGCAGUGAAAUGCGUAGAUAUGCGGAGGAACACCGAUGGCGAAGGCAGCCUCCUGGGAUAACACUGACGCUCAUGCACGAAAGUGUGGGGAGCAAACAGGAUUAGAUACCCUGGUAGUCCACGCCCUAAACGAUGUCAACUAGCUGUUGGGGCCUUCGGGCCUUGGUAGCGCAGCUAACGCGUGAAGUUGACCGCCUGGGGAGUACGGUCGCAAGAUUAAAACUCAAAGGAAUUGACGGGGACCCGCACAAGCGGUGGAUGAUGUGGAUUAAUUCGAUGCAACGCGAAAAACCUUACCUACCCUUGACAUGUCUGGAAUCCCGAAGAGAUUUGGGAGUGCUCGCAAGAGAACCGGAACACAGGUGCUGCAUGGCUGUCGUCAGCUCGUGUCGUGAGAUGUUGGGUUAAGUCCCGCAACGAGCGCAACCCUUGUCAUUAGUUGCUACGAAAGGGCACUCUAAUGAGACUGCCGGUGACAAACCGGAGGAAGGUGGGGAUGACGUCAAGUCCUCAUGGCCCUUAUGGGUAGGGCUUCACACGUCAUACAAUGGUCGGGACAGAGGGUUGCCAACCCGCGAGGGGGAGCCAAUCCCAGAAACCCGGUCGUAGUCCGGAUCGCAGUCUGCAACUCGACUGCGUGAAGUCGGAAUCGCUAGUAAUCGCGGAUCAGCAUGUCGCGGUGAAUACGUUCCCGGGUCUUGUACACACCGCCCGUCACACCAUGGGAGUGGGUUUUACCAGAAGUAGUUAGCCUAACCGCAAGGGGGGCGAUUACCACGGUAGGAUUCAUGACUGGGGUGAAGUCGUAACAAGGUAGCCGUAUCGGAAGGUGCGGCUGGAUCACCUCCUUU
Molecule: ribosomal RNA, 1527 nt
Filed under: Bordetella pertussis
Lineage: Bacteria; Pseudomonadati; Pseudomonadota; Betaproteobacteria; Burkholderiales; Alcaligenaceae
Description: bacterial SSU rRNA
Rfam family: Bacterial small subunit ribosomal RNA
Source: RNAcentral